ACGACCUUACUUGAACAGGAUCUGUUCUAUAGGCUCGUACCACUGUAUCCUUGAUUUCUAAGGAGACAGGAAUUCAAGUCUGGUGGAUGAAAUAUGGCCAUGAGGCUAGAGCGUGAUUAACAGCUUUGGUAUGGUCCUCGGGCCUACUGCGCAGUAGAUGAUCGUUCUCAGGCCUCUCGUGGGUCUGGGGUGGUCUCUUGGCUCUCUGACAGACU
Molecule: small nucleolar RNA, 215 nt
Organism: Solanum pennellii
Lineage: Eukaryota; Viridiplantae; Streptophyta; Magnoliopsida; Solanales; Solanaceae
Product: small nucleolar RNA U3
Exons: 1
Source: RefSeq, a predicted model, not a curated record